This is a long non-coding RNA of Bacillus rossius redtenbacheri, 3619 nucleotides long. RefSeq lists it as uncharacterized. The record is from RefSeq and is a predicted model, not a curated record. The transcript is spliced from 2 exons. NCBI's taxonomy places the organism in Eukaryota, Metazoa, Arthropoda, Insecta, Phasmatodea, Bacillidae.
AAAAAAAUAACUGUUAUAUACGCCAUUUUACCCAAUUUGAUGUAUAAUAACCCAAAAAAGGAUAAUAAUCUAGGCGUUCACAACACUGAUCAUUAUAAAAAAUAACUAUUAUAACAUACAAAGAAGAUCGCCUGCAGUAGCGGUAGCAAAGCGAACGAACUAUCUGUGACCUGUCUUUUUUGAAUUCGAGAUGGCAGCGGACGAACUAAAAGAGCGACCUAGUUCGCCAAGGAGCUGCGAACUAAAAGGAGCGCUCCCGGUCGCGAACUAUUAUGCGCAAGUCUAUUGCUGUGGGACAGCCUAAGUUUCACCCCCAUAGAUCGACAUGCCCUUCGGGCUGGUUCGUACAUGUUCGGGUUUUUUUUAUUUGUACGUUCAAAACAAACAUUGCAUUAUUGAUCAAAAAAUUGUUGACUAAUGUUAUUUUAUAUUUUUUUAAGAGUAAAACACAUGUACACAAAUAUUUCCUUGUUACUAAUUAUGAGAUUUUCAGGUAGCGUGUGGAGAUUUCAUCUUAUGUUCAUGAGCGCACAACGUUUAAAAUCAUAAGAAAUGUUUUCUGGUGGUGUGUAGCAGUUAACCGCAUUUAAGUAAAAAUAUUUUAAAUAAUUGUUACCAGAGCUGAAUUACAUUCAGGUGAGUGCACUUAAUAUAAUUUGGGGUAUUGCAGGAAAAAUUAUAAAUUCCUAAAGUGUUUUUUACUUCCUGACAUGUUUAAAAUUAUUAUUCUCUAUGAGGGUUGUUUGAUACUGCAAGUAGUUUAUCAUGUUUAACAUGCGGAUAUGUUAGGAUUAUUUAUUACAAAUCUGUAAUAUUGAGAUACUGCCCUUGGGUUAGCUGGAUUAAAAAUACAGUGAAAUUUGUUAGGUUAGUAACAUUAUACGUACACUGAUUCUAAGUACAGUGGAAUUUACAUUUGGUUAGCUUAGGAUAGCGCCAAUUAAAAAUUCUGUAAAAUCAAUUGAACGGUUGGAUGUUACUAACAUUAUCUAACCAACCAAUAUACAUUUUACAGUGUUUUUUUAGGUUAUUAUCUCACGUUGCUGCUUUUUGUAUGCAAAAUAAACUACUUUUUUUUUAACUUUAAAUAUGUACCUGUAUUUACUCUGAAAAAAGUUUUUCUAAAUUCAGACUGGUUUUUGAGAAAUCACUGUUUAUAGGUUACAUUACAUUACCUGUGCAGUAAAGGGCCUGUAACCAUGUUGUUCUUUAAUUGAGUUGCAGAUCCUGUUGUUUUUCAUACACAAAUUGUAUAUUUUUUAUUUGGAUAUUGCAAUGCAGUAACGUAUAUUAACACUUUAAAAAAGUUAUGUGACUCCUUAUUGUGCAUUCCAAACCCAAAGCAUCAGUCCUUGAGAGCGAUAUUUUUUAGCAGUUGAUAGGUGCAAAAUUCUGAUUUUUUACGUGAGACAACACAUAACCUGACAUAUAAAAUAAAUUUUCAUUUUGUAAUAAAUGAUUCCUUUUAUAACGUCAGGUUACAUGCUAUUGCAGGUAACUAAUCUGCACUUUGCGCCUCCAUACUGCUAUAAAAAAUCCCUGUCAAGGGUUGGCGUUUUGGUUUGGAUAUACAUUAGAGACUCGUAACUUUUUUAAAACUAUUAUUUACGUUUCAUCAGGUUAUAAUAUUCAAAUAUAAAAUAUAUAAAUUCUUAUAUAUAUGGAAAACCACAGGAUCUGCAAUGCAAUUAGAGGGAAAAAUGGCUACAGCUGCUUCACUGCAUAAGCUAUCUAGUGUGCAAAAUGUGAUUUCUUGAAAACCAGUAUAAAUUAAGAAAAGCUGUUUACAGUUUUAAUAGAGGAAGGUUUUUAGUGUCUGAAAAGGUAUUUUCAAAAUUUUAUAAUUUUUUUUAUGGAUAAGCAGCAACAAAAGAAAAUUACCUUUUUUUAAAUUUAGCUAACCAACCAUUCACAUGAUUUUACAAAUUUUGUAUUGUUUAUACUUACCUGCUUUAACAUUAAACUACUGUUAAACAAUUUAUUUCAAUUUUUUAAAAAUAUCUUUGGGAAUUAGCGCAGUAUAAUCGAAGACGUUUACUGUAUUGAUGAUUGAUUUACUUUAUUGAUGCACAACAAAGUUGUAUAAUUGUUAGAUUGGUUAAGCAAAUUCAAGCAUCAAGGGUACUGAUCAAUGGUUUUUAACAUUAUAUUUUCUUAAUGAGUCCAUUGGUAAAAUGUAAAAACACUGGAAUGGCUAAAUUUUCAUCGACUGCUUAUGUUUUUUUCGCAUGCUCACUUGAAAACAAUUACAGGGUUAUACUGUAGUUCACAGUUGCAAUACUUGGUUAGGUUAGUUACAUAAGUGCUGUUAAAUCAUGAAAAUGGUUAGGGAAAGGUAACUUCUUUAUAACUACUGUAAAAUGGUGUAAGCUAUUAUUCUUUAGGUAAGUUUACCUAGACUUUAAAAAUAAUUUAUUUGGCGAAGUACAUAGUACUAAGAAUUACUAUUUAUCAAAUUUGGUUUGUGUGGAAAAGUUGUUACUCUAGGAAAUUUCUGAAUCCAUCUUUGUAGGAAUAUAAACUAAUAUUAUUAGAAACAAAAAAAAACAAUGUGUGGUAUAUUUUAAUUUUCUAACACCCUCUGAACUCUGCAGUUAUGCGAUUACGAUAAUAAUUGUAAAUCAUUGCAAUAUACAUCCAACACAUUUUGUAGUGAUUUCACAACUGUACUAUGAAGUAAUGCCAUCGACUGCUGCAAAAUAACAUGCUGACAUCUUUUCUCGUGUAGGCAUUUUGUUGAUACAACUAAAAUAUGAGCAUAUAGGAUAUAUAUAGAAUCUUACAAAUUUUGGUACCUACUAAUACUCUCCCCAAAGACUUUGGUUUGAAAUUUAAAAAAAAAAAAAAAAAAAAAAAAAAAAAAAAAAAAAAAAAUGAACUGCUCAUGUAACAUGCAUUACGUGAAAUUAAUUCUUUUUGUAAACAUUUUGCUUGAGUCAAAGCCUAGAUUUGCUUAAGCUAAUAACAAGCAAUUACAUCACUUGAGGCCCUGAGAAACAUACUUCUAAAAUUGUGUAGUUACUUGGAUUGUUAAAUACCUAGUUUUUCUGCAAUAAUGGGCACAAGAGCAAUAGAAUUAUGUUUUUCAUAUAAUUUUUUUUCACAUAAAUGAGUUUUUGUCAAAAAGUAUUUGGAAAAAAAUUACUGUUUGAAAGGACAAAGAAAAAUGUUAAUUGUAGUACAUAAAUGAGAAUUUACCAAAAUAUUGAAUGUAUCAAAUUUCUAACUAAAAUGGUUUUGAAAUUAAUUUAUCAUUCUGGUAUGCAUAACUUUUUUCUUUGAUACAUUUAUUUAUCAGUUUCAUUUCUCUUUAGUACAAUAUAAAUCAUUUAACUUUGAUUUCUUUUUUGUUUCAGGCUUGUGGAGAACAGCUUUUUUUUUAUCUACUCUGUGGCUGGCCAAUGUAAAUAAGCAAUGAUUUCAUGAAUGCAGCGAGAGAGUUUAUUUGAUGUAUUUUAAAAUCACUGAUAAUAUUUAUUGAUGUAUUUUAAAAUCACUGAUAAUAUUUAUUGAUGUAUUUUAAAAUUACUGAUAAUAUUUGUUUUGUGGCUGGAAGAUGGUAACCAUGGUGACUUGUGAAUUUUUAUGAAGAUUAAUAAAAAGCAGUAAAAAUUAUUAA